Molecule: ribosomal RNA, 497 nt
Filed under: uncultured bacterium
Lineage: Bacteria
Description: partial 16S ribosomal RNA
Rfam family: Bacterial small subunit ribosomal RNA
Source: RNAcentral
GAUGAACGCUGGCGGCGUGCCUAAUACAUGCAAGUCGAGCGAACAGAUGAGGAGCUUGCUCCUCUGACGUUAGCGGCGGACGGGUGAGUAACACGUGGAUAACCUACCUAUAAGACUGGGAUAACUUCGGGAAACCGGAGCUAAUACCGGAUAAUAUAUUGAACCGCAUGGUUCAAUAGUGAAAGACGGUUUUGCUGUCACUUAUAGAUGGAUCCGCGCCGCAUUAGCUAGUUGGUAAGGUAACGGCUUACCAAGGCGACGAUGCGUAGCCGACCUGAGAGGGUGGUCGGCCACACUGGAACUGAGACACGUUCCAGACUCCUCCGGGAGGCAGCAGUAGGGAAUCUUCCGCAAUGGGCGAAAGCUUGACGGAGCAACGCCGCGUGAGUGAUGAAGGUCUUCGGAUCGUAAAACUCUGUUAUUAGGGAAGAACAAAUGUGUAAGUAACUAUGCACGUCUUGACGGUACCUAAUCAGAAAGCCACGGCUAACUACGUG